GGGUCAGUAGGUUGGUCGUGCCACCGGUACGUACUGGUCUCACUGAUUCCUCCUUCCUGAAGAACCGUAAUGCCAUUAAUUUGGUGUUGCGGGGAAACAGGACUGUUACUUUGAAAAAACUAGAAUGUUUAAAGCAAGCUAACGCUUGAAUACAUCAGCAUGGAAUAAUGAAAUAGGACGAUCGAUCCUAUUUUGUUGGUUUCUAGGAUUGACGUA
This 216-nucleotide ribosomal RNA is filed under the name Glomeromycotina sp. RNAcentral's name for it is "partial small subunit ribosomal RNA". The stretch from base 40 to 216 matches the Rfam family "Eukaryotic small subunit ribosomal RNA", at positions 686 to 864 of the family's 1831-position model. The record is from RNAcentral. Lineage: Eukaryota; Fungi; Glomeromycota.